AGUGAACGCUGGCGGUAGGCCUAACACAUGCAAGUCGAACGGCAGCACAGUAAGAGCUUGCUCUUACGGGUGGCGAGUGGCGGACGGGUGAGGAAUACAUCGGAAUCUACUUUUUCGUGGGGGAUAACGUAGGGAAACUUACGCUAAUACCGCAUACGACCUACGGGUGAAAGCAGUGGAUCUUCGGACCUUGCGCGUUUGAAUGAGCCGAUGUCGGAUUAGCUAGUUGGCGGGGUAAAGGCCCACCAAGGCGACGAUCCGUAGCUGGUCUGAGAGGAUGAUCAGCCACACUGGAACUGAGACACGGUCCAGACUCCUACGGGAGGCAGCAGUGGGGAAUAUUGGACAAUGGGCGAAAGCCUGAUCCAGCAAUACCGCGUGGGUGAAGAAGGACUUCGGGUUGUAAAGCCCUUUUGUUGGGAAAGAAAAGCAGCAGGUUAAUACCCCGCUGUUCUGACGGUACCCAAAGAAAAAGCACCGGCUAACUUCGUG
RNAcentral lists this ribosomal RNA (492 nucleotides) under uncultured bacterium. RNAcentral's name for it is "partial 16S ribosomal RNA". It matches the Rfam family "Bacterial small subunit ribosomal RNA", at positions 29 to 507 of the family's 1533-position model. The record is from RNAcentral.